This 253-nucleotide ribosomal RNA is filed under the name uncultured bacterium. Its description in RNAcentral is "partial 16S ribosomal RNA". It matches the Rfam family "Bacterial small subunit ribosomal RNA", at positions 524 to 776 of the family's 1533-position model. The record is from RNAcentral.
UACGUAGGGUGCAAGCGUUGUCCGGAAUUAUUGGGCGUAAAGAGCUCGUAGGCGGUUUGUCGCGUCUGCUGUGAAAACUCGAGGCUCAACUUCGAGCUGUCGGUGGAAACUUUCUGGCUAGAGUCCGGAAGAGGAGAAUGGAAUUCCUGGUGUAGCGGUGAAAUGCGCAGAUAUCAGGAAGAACACCCGUGGCGAAGGCGGUUCUCUGGGACGGUACUGACGCUGAGACGCGAAAGCGUGGGGAGCGAACAGG